Molecule: ribosomal RNA, 467 nt
Filed under: uncultured bacterium
Lineage: Bacteria
Description: partial 16S ribosomal RNA
Rfam family: Bacterial small subunit ribosomal RNA
Source: RNAcentral
GACGAACGCUGGCGGCGUGCUUAACACAUGCAAGUCGAACGGAAAGGCCUCUUUCGGGGGGUACUCGAGUGGCGAACGGGUGAGUAACACGUGAGUAACCUGCCCUUGACUUUGGGAUAACUUCAGGAAACUGGGGCUAAUACCGGAUAGGAGCUCCUGCUGCAUGGUGGGGGUUGGAAAGUUUCGGCGGUUGGGGAUGGACUCGCGGCUUAUCAGCUUGUUGGUGGGGUAGUGGCUUACCAAGGCUUUGACGGGUAGCCGGCCCGAGAGGGUGACCGGCCACAGUGGGACUGAGAUACGGCCCAGACUCCUACGGGAGGCAGCAGUGGGGAAUAUUGCACAAUGGGUGGAAGCCUGAUGCAGCAACGCCGUGUGCGGGAUGACGGCCUUCGGGUUGUAAACCGCUUUCGCUCAUGACGAAGCUUUGUGUGACGGUAGUGGGUAAAGAAGCACCGGCUAACUACGUG